Molecule: ribosomal RNA, 490 nt
Filed under: uncultured bacterium
Lineage: Bacteria
Description: partial 16S ribosomal RNA
Rfam family: Bacterial small subunit ribosomal RNA
Source: RNAcentral
AUUGAACGCUGGCGGCAGGCCUAACACAUGCGAGUCGAACGGUAACAGGAAGCAGCUUGCUGCUUUGCUGACGAGUGGCGGACGGGUGAGUAAUGUCUGGGAAACUGCCUGAUGGAGGGGGAUAACUACUGGAAACGGUAGCUAAUACCGCAUAACGUCGCAAGACCAAAGAGGGGGACCUUCGGGCCUCUUGCCAUCGGAUGUGCCCAGAUGGGAUUAGCUAGUAGGUGGGGUAACGGCUCACCUAGGCGACGAUCCCUAGCUGGUCUGAGAGGAUGACCAGCCACACUGGAACUGAGACACGGUCCAGACUCCUACGGGAGGCAGCAGUGGGGAAUAUUGCACAAUGGGCGCAAGCCUGAUGCAGCCAUGCCGCGUGUAUGAAGAAGGCCUUCGGGUUGUAAAGUACUUUCAGCGGGGAGGAAGGGAGUAAAGUUAAUACCUUUGCUCAUUGACGUUACCCGCAGAAGAAGCACCGGCUAACUCCGUG